UACGAAGGGUGCUAGCGUUGUUCGGAAUUACUGGGCGUAAAGCGCGCGUAGGCGGCUGUUCAAGUCAGAGGUGAAAUCCUUGGGCUCAACCCAAGAAUUGCCUUUGAAACUGCAUAGCUAGAGUGUCGGAGGGGAUAGCGGAAUUCCUAAUGUAGAGGUGAAAUUCGUAGAUAUUAGGAGGAACACCGGUGGCGAAGGCGGCUAUCUGGACGACAACUGACGCUGAGGCGCGAAAGCGUGGGGAUCAAACAGG
RNAcentral lists this ribosomal RNA (253 nucleotides) under uncultured bacterium. RNAcentral describes it as "partial 16S ribosomal RNA". It matches the Rfam family "Bacterial small subunit ribosomal RNA", at positions 524 to 776 of the family's 1533-position model. The record is from RNAcentral.